RNAcentral lists this ribosomal RNA (478 nucleotides) under uncultured bacterium. RNAcentral's name for it is "partial 16S ribosomal RNA". It matches the Rfam family "Bacterial small subunit ribosomal RNA", at positions 28 to 523 of the family's 1533-position model. The record is from RNAcentral.
GACGAACGCUGGCGGCGUGCUUAACACAUGCAAGUCGAACGGUAAGGCCCUUCGGGGUACACGAGUGGCGAACGGGUAAGUAACACGUGGGUGAUCUGCCCUGCACUUCGGGAUAAGCCUGGGAAACUGGGUCUAAUACCGGAUAGGACCACUGCCUGCAUGGGUGGUGGUGGAAAGCUUUUGCGGUGUGGGAUGGGCCCGCGGCCUAUCAGCUUGUUGGUGGGGUGAUGGCCUACCAAGGCGACGACGGGUAGCCGGCCUGAGAGGGUGACCGGCAACACUGGGACUGAGAUACGGCCCAGACUCCUACGGGAGGCAGCAGUGGGGAAUAUUGCACAAUGGGCGCAAGCCUGAUGCAGCGACGCCGCGUGAGGGAUGACGGCCUUCGGGUUGUAAACCUCUUUCAGCACCGACGAAGCGCAAGUGACGGUAGGUGCAGAAGAAGGACCGGCCAACUACGUGCCAGCAGCCGCCGCCG